GCUAAUACCGCAUGACAUAUCGGAACCACAUGGUUUUGAUAUCAAAGAUUUUAUCGCUUGAAGAUGGACUCGCGUCCGAUUAGUUAGUUGGUGAGGUAACGGCUCACCAAGACCGCGAUCGGUAGCCGGACUGANAGGUUGAACGGCCACAUUGGGACUGAGACACGGCCCAGACUCCUACGGGAGCAGCAUG
Molecule: ribosomal RNA, 193 nt
Filed under: uncultured bacterium
Lineage: Bacteria
Description: partial 16S ribosomal RNA
Rfam family: Bacterial small subunit ribosomal RNA
Source: RNAcentral